GCAUAUAAUUGCACAGCCAUCUUCUAUACCUAAUCGGAGCUAUUUAUUAAAGUGAUAAUUGUCAGGAAUGCAAAGUGAUUUUAAAAUUUAGGGCAAAAUAGCUGAAUUGGAAAAAAAAAAAUCUCCAAAUCAGUUAGGCUUCCAGUUCAGAUACUUUGCUUUAACAUUUAAAAUUCACUUUACCUUCCUGACAAUUCCCUCUUAAGGAGAAAACCCUGUCAGUGGCAACAUUUCCCUCCCAUAGAGCUUUGCCUACUGCUAUAGGCUAGUGCCUGAUCCAUUCUUCACAUUGG
Pelobates cultripes (western spadefoot toad) is the source of this 293-nucleotide non-coding RNA. Lineage: Eukaryota; Metazoa; Chordata; Amphibia; Anura; Pelobatidae. The record is from the annotation of a GenBank genome assembly.